AAUCGUCGGUUCAACAAAAGAA
RNAcentral lists this unclassified non-coding RNA (22 nucleotides) under Dictyostelium discoideum. The record is from RNAcentral. Lineage: Eukaryota; Evosea; Eumycetozoa; Dictyosteliales; Dictyosteliaceae.